UAGCGUCUUCAGGGCGGGGUGAAAUUCCCCACCGGCGGUAGGUUGAAGGGCCCACGUCCGACAACGAGCCCGCGAGCGCUCACGGUGGUCGCCGUGAGGUCAGCAGAUCCGGUCGAAUGCCGGAGCCGACGGUUGGAAGCGGGCAACUGCUUCCUCACAGUCCGGAUAAAGAGAAGACGGCA
RNAcentral lists this non-coding RNA (182 nucleotides) under Rhodanobacter spathiphylli. Its description in RNAcentral is "Rhodanobacter sp. FMN sequence". It matches the Rfam family "FMN riboswitch aptamer (RFN element)". Rfam says of the family: The RFN element is a highly conserved domain that is found frequently in the 5'-untranslated regions of prokaryotic mRNAs that encode for flavin mononucleotide (FMN) biosynthesis and transport proteins. This element is a metabolite-dependent riboswitch that directly binds FMN in the absence of proteins. Lineage: Bacteria; Pseudomonadati; Pseudomonadota; Gammaproteobacteria; Lysobacterales; Rhodanobacteraceae. The record is from RNAcentral.